This 640-nucleotide ribosomal RNA is filed under the name Burkholderia cepacia. Its description in RNAcentral is "bacterial SSU rRNA". It matches the Rfam family "Bacterial small subunit ribosomal RNA", at positions 359 to 992 of the family's 1533-position model. The record is from RNAcentral. Lineage: Bacteria; Pseudomonadati; Pseudomonadota; Betaproteobacteria; Burkholderiales; Burkholderiaceae.
GAAUUUUGGACAAUGGGCGAAAGCCUGAUCCAGCAAUGCCGCGUGUGUGAAGAAGGCCUUCGGGUUGUAAAGCACUUUUGUCCGGAAAGAAAUCCUUGGCUCUAAUACAGUCGGGGGAUGACGGUACCGGAAGAAUAAGCACCGGCUAACUACGUGCCAGCAGCCGCGGUAAUACGUAGGGUGCGAGCGUUAAUCGGAAUUACUGGGCGUAAAGCGUGCGCAGGCGGUUUGCUAAGACCGAUGUGAAAUCCCCGGGCUCAACCUGGGAACUGCAUUGGUGACUGGCAGGCUAGAGUAUGGCAGAGGGGGGUAGAAUUCCACGUGUAGCAGUGAAAUGCGUAGAGAUGUGGAGGAAUACCGAUGGCGAAGGCAGCCCCCUGGGCCAAUACUGACGCUCAUGCACGAAAGCGUGGGGAGCAAACAGGAUUAGAUACCCUGGUAGUCCACGCCCUAAACGAUGUCAACUAGUUGUUGGGGAUUCAUUUCCUUAGUAACGUAGCUAACGCGUGAAGUUGACCGCCUGGGGAGUACGGUCGCAAGAUUAAAACUCAAAGGAAUUGACGGGGACCCGCACAAGCGGUGGAUGAUGUGGAUUAAUUCGAUGCAACGCGAAAAACCUUACCUACCCUUGACAUGGUCC